Molecule: small RNA, 997 nt
Filed under: Pan troglodytes (chimpanzee)
Lineage: Eukaryota; Metazoa; Chordata; Mammalia; Primates; Hominidae
Description: retained intron
Source: RNAcentral
GCCUUCGCCAGCGUGGUGGACAUCAAGCUGCUCCUGCGCAUCUGGGACCUGUUUUUCUACGAGGGCUCCCGGGUGCUGUUCCAGCUCACGCUGGGCAUGCUGCACCUCAAGGAGGAAGAGCUGAUCCAGUCAGAGAACUCGGCCUCCAUCUUCAACACGCUAUCGGAUAUCCCGUCGCAGAUGGAGGACGCGGAGCUGCUUCUGGGGGUGGCCAUGCGGCUGGCCGGCUCCCUCACCGAUGUGGCCGUGGAGACUCAGCGCCGCAAGCACCUGGCCUAUCUCAUUGCAGACCAGGGCCAGCUCCUGGGGGCCGGCACCCUCACCAACCUCUCUCAGGUUGUUCGCCGCAGGACCCAGCGGAGGAAGUCCACCAUCACUGCUCUGCUCUUUGGGGAGGAUGACCUGGAGGCACUCAAGGCCAAGAACAUCAAGCAGACGGAACUGGUGGCUGACCUCCGGGAAGCCAUCCUGCGCGUGGCACGCCACUUCCAGUGCACAGACCCCAAAAACUGCAGCGUGGUGAGUCGCCAGCUCCCUGGGCUGCUACCAAACAUGGCCCUAACUCCUCCAACCCCCUUGGUGGGCCUGUUUUCACUGUGGCAGGAGCUGACUCCAGACUACAGCAUGGAGAGCCACCAGCGGGACCACGAGAACUACGUGGCAUGCUCACGCAGCCACCGGCGCCGAGCCAAGGCCCUGCUGGACUUUGAGCGGCACGACGACGACGAGCUGGGCUUCCGCAAGAACGACAUCAUCACAAUCGUGUCUCAGAAGGACGAGCACUGCUGGGUGGGGGAGCUCAACGGCCUGCGAGGCUGGUUUCCAGCCAAGUUCGUGGAAGUCCUGGAUGAGCGCAGCAAAGAGUACUCCAUCGCGGGGGAUGACUCGGUGACGGAGGGGGUCACAGACCUCGUGCGAGGGACCCUCUGCCCGGCCCUUAAGGCCCUGUUCGAACAUGGACUGAAGAAGCCAUCCCUGCUUGGGGGCGCCUGCCACC